UACGUAGGUGGCAAGCGUUGUCCGGAUUUAUUGGGUUUAAAGGGUGCGUAGGCGGUCUUAUAAGUCAGUGCUGAAAUAUCCCGGCUUAACCGGGAGGGUGGCAUUGAUACUGUAGGACUUGAGUAGAGUUGAGGUUGGCGGAAUUGACGGUGUAGCGGUGAAAUGCUUAGAUAUCGUCAAGAACACCGAUAGUGAAGACAGCUAACUAAGCUCUAACUGACGCUGAGGCACGAAAGUGUGGGGGAUCAAACAGG
This 254-nucleotide ribosomal RNA is filed under the name uncultured bacterium. Its description in RNAcentral is "partial 16S ribosomal RNA". It matches the Rfam family "Bacterial small subunit ribosomal RNA", at positions 524 to 776 of the family's 1533-position model. The record is from RNAcentral.